Molecule: unclassified non-coding RNA, 210 nt
Filed under: Hevea brasiliensis (rubber tree)
Lineage: Eukaryota; Viridiplantae; Streptophyta; Magnoliopsida; Malpighiales; Euphorbiaceae
Source: RNAcentral
GUUUGACCUGCAUUAAGCAGCCCAACAAUCAAGUGAUUGCGAGUAUAGUAAGUUUGGAUGAAUACCUCAGUUGUGCGAUUCCUUGUAAAGGGUAAAUGGAUAUGAGAGCUUCUUAGUAUGAAACAUCAGCGGACCAGAUCCUUGCCAUGAAGUUCUGAAAUAACUUCAGCUGCUUUUAGCAUUUUUCCAUUCACCAAUAGACCACGAAGG